CAGCCGUAAACUAUGCUCGCUAGGUGUCAGGCAUGGCGCGACCGUGUCUGGCGCCGCAGGGAAGCCGUGAAGCGAGCCACCUGGGAAGUACGGCCGCAAGGCUGAAACUUAAAGGAAUUGGCGGGGGAGGCACCACAACGGGUGGGAGCCUGCGGUUUAAUUUGGACUCAACGCCGGGAAGGCUCACCGGAUAAGACAGCGGAAUGAUUGCCGGGCUGAAGACUCUGCAUGACUAGCUGAGAGGAGGUGCAUGGCGUGU
This 259-nucleotide ribosomal RNA is filed under the name uncultured archaeon. RNAcentral describes it as "partial 16S ribosomal RNA". It matches the Rfam family "Archaeal small subunit ribosomal RNA", at positions 748 to 1002 of the family's 1478-position model. The record is from RNAcentral.